This 1613-nucleotide long non-coding RNA is filed under the name Fukomys damarensis (Damara mole-rat). RNAcentral describes it as "lncRNA (ENSFDAG00000025983.1)". The record is from RNAcentral. Lineage: Eukaryota; Metazoa; Chordata; Mammalia; Rodentia; Bathyergidae.
AUGCAGUUUCUGUUCCAGCACAGCCCCAGUAUCCUCACAGCUCAGCUGAAGGCUUCAUUCGAGAUGGGCGAGCUCUGCAGACGCACAGUCACAAUCACAAUGCCAGGAGUACAUGUGGGAGGAAGUCACGCACCAGAGGGUCACACAGGAAGAAAAAAAUCCAGAACAAAAUAUGGAGAAAAGGCUGAGCAGUAUAUGUAAUCACUGCCUCAAGGUUAAGCUUCGAAAAUGUGCUGGAGAUACUUACUGAGUGACAAGGUUCAAAUACCUACUCGUACAAUGGCAAUUUUCAUCCUGUGAAUUCAACGUACUAAGAGCAGCCAGGGCUGUUAUUCACAGAGGGGUUUAAGCCACAUAAUUUGAAUCGAAUUUUCAUUUCUCAUGCACGGCUUUGAAUCAUUCCAGUACCAAGAGGAGGAAUUCAAAACCAACCCUCAAAGGUUCCCUGAAUUUGUUCCUUUAUAUUAGACAAAGAGUAAUUAAGACUAGAGACAUUUUGUUCUGUGCCCUCUUACCAGCUUCUGGUUGACUUCAACAGUAUGAUCAUCAGGUUUACUAACAAUAACUAAGCCUGCUUGCUAGUUGCAGAUGUAAACCUAGCCCAUGGCCCCUGCUUUUAAAGAGCUUAACAUAAAGUACAGAAAACCACACACACACACACACACACACUUUGAAUGACGUUGCAGUAAAUACCACCAUCUGUUGCCAAGGGUGAGUCUAACAGAAAUCAUAUUGCAACGUUUAAAAAGCUCAGUCUGUGAUGUUGACCUGCUACUUAGAUGCCUUACUUAGAGGAACGAAGGAGAGAAGAAGGCUUAUCCCUAGAGACCUGCUGGGAGGAGUGGCCUCUCUCCACCCACCCCUGAGGGUGAGGGAGAGAGGGGACUGAGAGACCCCCUUCCAUCAACUCAGAGCUUCAUUGGAAAAAUGCCUACCCAUCAUAUAACCCUUUUGCGAAGCCUUGAGAAAAAGAGCAAAAGGAAAAGGACUGCCGUUGUAACUUGGAAAUUGGCUUUAAUGUUUAAAAUCGUGAGUGGAGAAGUAAAGCAGUGCAAACACGCCGAAAUAAAAGCGAAGCGUUUGGGUCAGCCUAGUGGCUGAGGGUGUGGUUAGCAGGUGUGAGGCCCAGUGUUCAACCCCCAGAACGCUCUUAAGAGUGAAAUUCCCUUCCAUCUCAUUAUUGGAGAGAGCUAAAUUAGUUAGACAUAUUAUAGACAGACAGGGCUGGGCCCUCAAAGAAGUCAGUGCAGAAGACAACUGUGGCUGGAGGGCCAGGCAUUGAAGGUCAGGCUUUAAAACGAGAAGAACCUACUACACCCACACACUUCCUCUAUGGAUGAACAGCAGUAUUGAUAUUCUAAAUAGGCAUCAGUCAUGUGGGUGGGGACACAGAUCUUAACCCACCCCUUCCAGGAAAAUCUUUGUUCAUUCCCUUGCACUUGCUACCUGACUUCUUUCCCCCAUUUGAUCCCUGUUUAAUCAAUGUUAGCUAGAUGACUAAACUUGUAAUUUUAUUGGUUGACCAAAGUUCUGUCCCACCUUAUACCCACUUUGUGAUUUCUCAUUGGAUCAAUAUUAUCUAAUCAACGAGACCAACCCACUUUCCAGGCCCC